AAUGAACGCUGGCGGCAUGCCUUACACAUGCAAGUCGAACGGCAGCAUGACCUAGCUUGCUAGGUUGAUGGCGAGUGGCGAACGGGUGAGUAAUGCAUCGGAACGUGCCUUUUAGUGGGGGAUAACGUAGCGAAAGUUACGCUAAUACCGCAUAUUCUCUGAGGAGGAAAGCAGGGGACCUUCGGGCCUUGCGCUAGAAGAGCGGCCGAUGUCGGAUUAGCUAGUUGGUGAGGUAAAGGCUCACCAAGGCAACGAUCCGUAGCGGGUCUGAGAGGAUGAUCCGCCACACUGGGACUGAGACAAGGCCCAGACUCCUACGGGAGGCAGCAGUGGGGAAUUUUGGACAAUGGGCGCAAGCCUGAUCCAGCCAUGCCGCGUGAGUGAAGAAGGCCUUCGGGUUGUAAAGCUCUUUCGGCUGGGAAGAAAUCGCACCCUCUAAUACAGGGUGUGGAGGACGGUACCAGCAUAAGAAGCACCGGCUAACUACGU
This 489-nucleotide ribosomal RNA is filed under the name uncultured bacterium. RNAcentral's name for it is "partial 16S ribosomal RNA". It matches the Rfam family "Bacterial small subunit ribosomal RNA", at positions 29 to 506 of the family's 1533-position model. The record is from RNAcentral.